This 397-nucleotide ribosomal RNA is filed under the name uncultured bacterium. RNAcentral's name for it is "bacterial SSU rRNA". It matches the Rfam family "Bacterial small subunit ribosomal RNA", at positions 29 to 426 of the family's 1533-position model. The record is from RNAcentral.
AUUGAACGCUGGCGGCAUGCCUUACACAUGCAAGUCGAACGGCAGCACGGGAGCAAUCCUGGUGGCGAGUGGCGAACGGGUGAGUAAUAUAUCGGAACGUGCCCGGUCGUGGGGGAUAACGUAGCGAAAGCUACGCUAAUACCGCAUACGAUCUACGGAUGAAAGCGGGGGAGUCGCAAGACCUCGCGCGAUUGGAGCGGCCGAUAUCAGAUUAGGUAGUUGGUGAGGUAAAGGCUCACCAAGCCGACGAUCUGUAGCUGGUCUGAGAGGACGACCAGCCACACUGGGACUGAGACACGGCCCAGACUCCUACGGGAGGCAGCAGUGGGGAAUUUUGGACAAUGGGCGCAAGCCUGAUCCAGCAAUGCCGCGUGCAGGAUGAAGGCCUUCGGGUUGG